RNAcentral lists this ribosomal RNA (491 nucleotides) under uncultured bacterium. RNAcentral describes it as "partial 16S ribosomal RNA". It matches the Rfam family "Bacterial small subunit ribosomal RNA", at positions 29 to 507 of the family's 1533-position model. The record is from RNAcentral.
GUGAACGCUGGCGGUAGGCCUAACACAUGCCAGUCGAACGGCAGCACAGUAAGCGCUUGCUCUUACGGGUGGCGAGUGGCGGACGGGUGAGGAAUACAUCGGAAUCUACUUUUUCGUGGGGGAUAACGUAGGGAAACUUACGCUAAUACCGCAUACGACCUACGGGUGAAAGCAGGGGAUCUUCGGACCUUGCGCGAUUGAAUGAGCCGAUGUCGGAUUAGCUAGUUGGCGGGGUAAAGGCCCAUCAAGGCGACGAUCCGUAGCUGGUCUGAGAGGAUGAUCAGCCACACUGGAACUGAGACACGGUCCAGACUCCUACGGGAGGCAGCAGUGGGGAAUAUUGGACAAUGGGCGCAAGCCUGAUCCAGCCAUACCGCGUGGGUGAAGAAGGCCUUCGGGUUGUAAAGCCCUUCUGUUGGGAAAGAAAAGCAGCAGGUUAAUACCCCGCUGUUCUGACGGUACCCAAAGAAUAAGCACCGGCUAACUUCGUG